UCAAAGAUAUUAGCAGGAGCCAUGUAAGGACUGAGCGUGAGAGGCUCCAAUCGAUGCUCUAGUGCCGCCACAAAGUGUGCUUCAGCUAGGACUAGCAUGUCUGCUAAGCUUUUCUUGUUUCUGAGCCUCUGUUAAUGCCCAAGACAAUGAGAAAUAUCAAUAACAAUUAUAAUAAUCUCGAUUUGGGUUGUCAUCUUGAUGCGUUUUACUUAUUAGUUAAAAUGAUCAUUUUAUUAAUGGGAGAAGAAAAUAAAAUAUAAAUCUGAUUUUAACACUUUAAAAAUUAAUUUUUAAGUUACAAAGAAUUGAUUUUUUUUUUCAUUCAUAAAAUGGGUAGAAAAGAAAUUAGUUUAAUUGAAAUAUUGUAAAAUUUUUUAUUUCAAAUAAGAGAAUUAAAAAAAAAUGAUAUUAAUUGCUAAAUUAAAAAUAACUAUAAAUGAAAACAUUAAAAAGUAAGGUAGUGAAUAAUAUUACAUCACUUGUAAGUAAACAACAGCAUAAGAUACCAAACAAAAUAGUUAAAGUACACUCUUACAGGCUUGCAGCAUAGCUUCUGCUCCUUAGACUUUGUCAUUUUCUGGGAUUUCUAUGCUCUUAUAGGUAUUUGCUUUCCUUGUAUUUUCUGUGCUUGCUUGAUCCUCUGGUGAGUUGUGAGCUUGAAUGCAUA
Molecule: long non-coding RNA, 667 nt
Filed under: Manihot esculenta (cassava)
Lineage: Eukaryota; Viridiplantae; Streptophyta; Magnoliopsida; Malpighiales; Euphorbiaceae
Description: long non-coding RNA (MESC_LNC006336)
Source: RNAcentral